Molecule: ribosomal RNA, 483 nt
Filed under: uncultured bacterium
Lineage: Bacteria
Description: partial 16S ribosomal RNA
Rfam family: Bacterial small subunit ribosomal RNA
Source: RNAcentral
AUUGAACGCUAGCGGGAUGCUUUACACAUGCGAGUCGAACGGCAGCGCGGACUUCGGUCUGGCGGCGAGUGGCGAACGGGUGAGUAAUGUAUCGGAACGUGCCCAGUAGCGGGGGAUAACUACGCGAAAGCGUAGCUAAUACCGCAUACGCCCUACGGGGGAAAGCAGGGGAUCGUAAGACCUUGCACUAUUGGAGCGGCCGAUAUCGGAUUAGCUAGUUGGUGAGGUAACGGCUCACCAAGGCGACGAUCCGUAGCUGGUUUGAGAGGACGACCAGCCACACUGGGACUGAGACACGGCCCAGACUCCUACGGGAGGCAGCAGUGGGGAAUUUUGGACAAUGGGGGCAACCCUGAUCCAGCCAUCCCGCGUGUGCGAUGAAGGCCUUCGGGUUGUAAAGCACUUUUGGCAGGAAAGAAACGUCGCGGGCUAAUACCCCGUGGAACUGACGGUACCUGCAGAAUAAGCACCGGCUAACUACGU